ACGGGAGGCAGCAGUGAGGAAUCUUGGACAAUGGGCGAAAGCCUGAUCCAGCCAUGCCGCGUGAAUGAUGAAGGCCUUAGGGUUGUAAAAUUCUUUCAGCAGGGAAGAUAAUGACGGUACCUGCAGAAGAAGCCCCGGCUAACUCCGUGCCAGCAGCCGCGGUAAUACGGAGGGGGCUAGCGUUGUUCGGAAUUACUGGGCGUAAAGCGCUCGUAGGCGGAUUGGUCAGUCAGAGGUGAAAGCCCAGGGCUCAACCUUGGAAUUGCCUUUGAUACUGCCAGUCUUGAGUUCGGGAGAGGUGAGCGGAAUUCCGAGUGUAGAGGUGUAAUUCGUAGAUAUUCGGAGGAACACCAGAGGCGAAGGCGGCUCACUGGACCGAUACUGACGCUGAGGAGCGAAAGCGUGGGGAGCAAACAGGAUUAGAUACCCUGGUAGUCCACGCCGUAAACGAUGAGAGCUAGUUGUCUGGCAGCAUGCUGUUAGGUGACGCAGCUAACGCAUUAAGCUCUCCGCCUGGGGAGUACGGCCGCAAGGUUAAAACUCAAAGAAAUUGACGGGG
RNAcentral lists this ribosomal RNA (559 nucleotides) under uncultured bacterium. Its description in RNAcentral is "bacterial SSU rRNA". It matches the Rfam family "Bacterial small subunit ribosomal RNA", at positions 341 to 918 of the family's 1533-position model. The record is from RNAcentral.